This 454-nucleotide ribosomal RNA is filed under the name uncultured bacterium. Its description in RNAcentral is "partial 16S ribosomal RNA". It matches the Rfam family "Bacterial small subunit ribosomal RNA", at positions 28 to 507 of the family's 1533-position model. The record is from RNAcentral.
GAUGAACGCUGACAGCAUGCUUAACACAUGCAAGUCAACUUGAACUUCGGUUUGGGUGGCGGACGGGUGAGUAACGCGUAAAGAACUUGCCUCACAGAUAGGGACAACAUUUGGAAACGAAUGCUAAUACCUGAUAUUAUGAUUAUAUGGCAUCGUAUAAUUAUGAAAGCUGUAUGCGCUGUGAGAGAGCUUUGCGUCCCAUUAGCUAGUUGGAGAGGUAACGGCUCACCAAGGCGAUGAUGGGUAGCCGGCCUGAGAGGGUGAUCGGCCACAAGGGGACUGAGACACGGCCCUUACUCCUACGGGAGGCAGCAGUGGGGAAUAUUGGACAAUGGACCAAGAGUCUGAUCCAGCAAUUCUGUGUGCACGAUGAAGUUUUUCGGAAUGUAAAGUGCUUUCAGUUGGGAAGAAAAAAAUGACGGUACCAACAGAAGAAGUGACGGCUAAAUACGUG